UCCGUAGGUGAACCUGCGGAAGGAUCAUUAAUCGAAUGAGUAUGCUUCCCUGCAUGAUAUUUCAAACCCCACCUGUCCAUCUUACCUGUUGCUUCCGUGCUGCACAUGCUGCACAUGCUGCAAAGGCGUGCCUUCCGGGCCCCGGGGUAUCCAGGUACUCUCCAUGGCCCUUGAAAGCAGCCGGCACGGGAGGUUUAACCUCAAACUCUUGCCUUUGAAUGCCUUUCGUCUGAACUGUAGUACAUGAAAAGUUAAAACUUUCAACAACGGAUCUCUUGGUUCUCGCAUCGAUGAAGAACGCAGCGAAAUGCGAUAAGUAGUGUGAAUUGCAGAAUUCCGUGAAUCAUCGAAUCUUUGAACGCACAUUGCGCCUCCUGGUAAUCCGAGAGGCAUGCCUGUCCGAGCGUCACUAAGAAGCAACUCGACCGCGCACCGGCGGUUGGUCAUGGAGGAAGAGUCCAUCUUGUUGUGUGUCUCCCCUCCCAAAAUCAACGGCGGAAAGUCACUGGCACUCGGUGUAGUAGUAUUAUUCGCCAAUCAUCCAUUGCUGUUCCUGCCGCUCAAACCCCCAAUAUUCUCUUGAUUGACCUCGGAUCAGGUAGGGAUACCCGCUGAACUUAAGCAUAUCAAUAAGCGGAGGA
This 641-nucleotide ribosomal RNA is filed under the name uncultured Geopora. Its description in RNAcentral is "eukaryotic LSU rRNA". The stretch from base 256 to 409 matches the Rfam family "5.8S ribosomal RNA". The record is from RNAcentral. Lineage: Eukaryota; Fungi; Ascomycota; Pezizomycetes; Pezizales; Pyronemataceae.